GAUGAACGCUGGCGGCGUGCCUAAUACAUGCAAGUCGAGCGAACAGAUGAGGAGCUUGCUCCUCUGACGUUAGCGGCGGACGGGUGAGUAACACGUGGAUAACCUACCUAUAAGACUGGGAUAACUUCGGGAAACCGGAGCUAAUACCGGAUAAUAUAUUGAACCGCAUGGUUCAAUAGUGAAAGACGGUUUUGCUGUCACUUAUAGAUGGAUCCGCGCCGCAUUAGCUAGUUGGUAAGGUAACGGCUUACCAAGGCAACGAUGCGUAGCCGACCUGAGCGGGUGAGCGGCCACACUGGAACUGAGCCACGUUCCAGACUCCUACGGGAGGCAGCAGUAGGGAAUCUUCCGCAAUGGGCGAAAGCCUGACGGAGCAACGCCGCGUGAGUGAUGAAGGUCUUCGGAUCGUAAAACUCUGUUAUUAGGGAAGAACAAAUGUGUAAGUAACUAUGCACGUCUUGACGGUACCUAAUCAGAAAGCCACGGCUAACUACGUG
This 497-nucleotide ribosomal RNA is filed under the name uncultured bacterium. Its description in RNAcentral is "partial 16S ribosomal RNA". It matches the Rfam family "Bacterial small subunit ribosomal RNA", at positions 28 to 507 of the family's 1533-position model. The record is from RNAcentral.